AUGUGUGUACCUAAGAAUCAAGGAAGAAUGGCUUUUCGUGAUAUCCACUGUUUCAGUUUGGCUAUGCUCGCUAAACAGGCUUGGUGUCUUAUCGAGAAUCCUAAUUCUCUAUGUGCUACUAUUCUGAAAGUCAAAUACCCCGAUGGUGAUUUGUUGAACACUAAUCUAAAAAAGGGUUCUUCCUUCACCCGAGAAAGUAUUAUGGUGGGUGUGAUUUCUCUGAAACAUGGUCACAUUUGACAAGUGGGGAAUGGUCAGAAUAUUAAUAUUUGGGAGGAUGCCUAGAUUCCAAAUUGUGCAAACCGGAAAAUUAUUACUCCUAAGGGAGGUCCAUUGUUAUCUAAGGUAGUAGAUUUGAUUGACCCUAUUCUUAAUACUUGGGAUGAAGAUCUACUUAGACAAACCCUAUGGCCUAUCAAUGUUGAACGAGUACUUGCGAUCCCUAUCUCGCAAGAUGAUAUGCCAGAUUUCAUAGCUUGAAAUUUCACACAAAAUGGUAUGUUUCGGUCCGAUUUGCUUAUUUUUUGGAAUGGGACCAUCAAUAUGGAAACAAGCUACGACAUACCAAUGGGAUGGGACAUACCACAAUUAAUCCUAUUUGGUGUAGGAUUUGGAAACUUUCUUUCUCGGCAAAGGUUAAAUAUUUAUUUGGCAUAUGCUACAUGA
This 666-nucleotide ribosomal RNA is filed under the name Triticum aestivum (bread wheat). RNAcentral describes it as "partial small subunit ribosomal RNA". The record is from RNAcentral. Lineage: Eukaryota; Viridiplantae; Streptophyta; Magnoliopsida; Poales; Poaceae.